GAUUUUUUUUAUUAAUAUUUUUAUUUAUAUUAUAUAUAAUAAUAUAUAUAUAUAUAUAAAUGUUAUUUAAUUUGUAAUUAUUAUAAAAAUAAUUUAAUUAUUAAAUGUUUUAGUAUUAUUUAAGAAUAAAUUUUUAGUUUUAUAGUUUAAUAGUAUUGUAAAAGAAUUAUAUACAUUAUUUAAAGAUUAAAAUUUAGUACCUUUUGUAUCAGGGUUAAUUAAAAUUUUUAAUUUAUUUUAAUUUCUCAAAAUUUAUAGAGUUAAUUUUAUUAUUAAUUUAUUGUUUUAUAAAUAUUUAUAAAAUAAUUUUAGUUUUGAUAUUUAAUUCGUUAUAAUAUAUUUAGUUAUUUAAGAUUUAAAUUUAAUUUAAAAUUUUAAAAGUUAAUUUAAUUUAUUUAAAUGUUAUUUUAAAUUUAAAUUAUUUUAGGGAUAAGCUUGAAAUUUAUAUAUAAUUUUUAUUAAAUUAAAUAAUUUAUAGAAAUAGAAAUUUUUAUUAUAAGUUUGUAAUAAUUUAUUAUUUAUUUAUAUUUAAUUUAUUAUAAUUAAUUUAUUUAUUAUAUUAGAUUUUGUAAUUUAAUUAUUUAUUUACAGUAAUAAUGAUUAAAUUAGUAUAAUUUAUAUUUAUAAAUUAUGAAUUCGGCAAAUUUUAUUUUCAUCUGUUUAAUAAAAACAUUGUAUUAAGUUUUAUUUAAUAUAGGAUCUGCUCAAUGAAAUUUAUUAAAUAGCUGCAGUAUUUUGACUGUGCAAAGGUAGCAUAAUAAUUAGUCUUUUAAUUGGGGACUUGAAUGAAAGAUUUGAUGAGAAAUAGACUUUAUUAUUUAUAAAAUUAUAAUUUUAUUUUUAAGUAAAAAAGCUUAAAUAAUUUAAAGGGACGAUAAGACCCUAUAAAACUUUAUAUUUAUAUAGUUUUAAUUUGUAUGGUUAGUAAUAGUUUAAUAUUAUAUAAUUAUUUUAUUGGGGUGAUAAAAAAAUUAAUUAACUUUUUUUAAAUUUAAACAUUAUUUAAUGAAAAUUUGAGUUAAAAUUUUUAAUUAAAGGAUUAAGUUACUUUAGGGAUAACAGCGUAAUUAAUUUUUUAAGUUCUAAUUUAAAAAUUAGAUUGCGACCCCGAUGUUGAAUUAAGAUUAAUCUUAGGUGCAAAAUUUUAAGUAUUAGGUCUGUUCGACCUUUAAAUUCUUACAUGAUUUGAGUUCAAACCGGUGUAAGCCAGGUUGGUUUCUAUCU
Molecule: ribosomal RNA, 1224 nt
Filed under: Aleurodaphis mikaniae
Lineage: Eukaryota; Metazoa; Arthropoda; Insecta; Hemiptera; Hormaphididae
Description: partial 16S ribosomal RNA
Rfam family: Archaeal large subunit ribosomal RNA (bases 1055-1213)
Source: RNAcentral